This is a non-coding RNA of Microcebus murinus (gray mouse lemur), 814 nucleotides long. Lineage: Eukaryota; Metazoa; Chordata; Mammalia; Primates; Cheirogaleidae. The record is from RefSeq and is a predicted model, not a curated record.
CUCCAGGGUGACUGGAAUUGGGGCUUGGUGGGCUGGUCCUUUGCUCUGUGCCAAGCGCUGAGCACUGUGCUGUGAGUCAACAGGAUGUAAAAAGACAGGGACCCUUCCAGCCUGCAUCGUUAAAGUCUGUGAGAUGAAUGCUAAUCACUGACUGCAAUCUCACCAAAGAAGGUUUUCUCUCCUACUUCUCUCUGCGAUUGCAGCAUGUUCUACCUGCAGAUUUGGUCACAUUAACGUCUAAGUGAAGCCUCCGUGUUUUACUCCAGAUACCCUUAGCACCAUUACCCCAAACACACACAGUGUCUGUGCCCGAGCUCCCCAGAGAGACGUUCUGGAAAGCUCCUACAUUCACCUAUGAAGGGAGCAGGAGCAGAAGAAAUUAAGAAGCCUCUUUAGAUCUGCAAAUCCAUCUGCACAAAGGAAGGGCAGGAAGACAGAGACUAAGACAGCGAGAGGGGGCCAGACCCCAGUGUUAGACAAAGUCUGAGAUCCAGGAGGAAAAACAUCAACUAUGGGUGGAACUUAGGGGAGAGGAAGACAAAGAUUAUAAACCAGGGGCCUGCAGGGUCACAAGAGGUGGCUCUGGAGAAGGCCUGAUUCAAAAUGGACACUGAUCUGGCCUGAUGCCCAGACCUGCCACCCGAAAAAAAAUGGACAUUGACUGAAGGUUUGCUGAUUGAAUCCAUAAAGGCUCAGUCAAAUGUGGGUCGAAAGAUAGAGGACGUAUACAGGCAACUUAGGAUCGCUUUCUCCAGACCUGUGCAUUGGACCAAGAUGAGACCAUAGCACCUCUCCUCCUGCAUGUCACAUAAAG